This 497-nucleotide ribosomal RNA is filed under the name uncultured bacterium. RNAcentral describes it as "partial 16S ribosomal RNA". It matches the Rfam family "Bacterial small subunit ribosomal RNA", at positions 28 to 507 of the family's 1533-position model. The record is from RNAcentral.
GAUGAACGCUGGCGGCGUGCCUAAUACAUGCAAGUCGAGCGAACGGACGAGAAGCUUGCUUCUCUGAUGUUAGCGGCGGACGGGUGAGUAACACGUGGAUAACCACCCUAUAAGACUGGGUUAACUUCGGGAAACCGGAGCUAAUACCGGAUAAUAUUUUGAACCGCAUGGUUAAAAAGUGAAAGACGGUCUUGCUGUCACUUAUAGAUGGAUCCGCGCUGCAUUAGCUAGUUGGUAAGGUAACGGCUUACCAAGGCAACGAUGCAUAGCCGACCUGAGAGGGUGAUCGGCCACACUGGAACUGAGACACGGUCCAGACUCCUACGGGAGGCAGCAGUAGGGAAUCUUCCGCAAUGGGCGAAAGCCUGACGGAGCAACGCCGCGUGAGUGAUGAAGGUCUUCGGAUCGUAAAACUCUGUUAUUAGGGAAGAACAUAUGUGUAAGUAACUGUGCACAUCUUGACGGUACCUAAUCAGAAAGCCACGGCUAACUACGUG